Molecule: ribosomal RNA, 275 nt
Filed under: uncultured bacterium
Lineage: Bacteria
Description: partial 16S ribosomal RNA
Rfam family: Bacterial small subunit ribosomal RNA
Source: RNAcentral
GCGUGAGUGAUGAAGGCCUUAGGGUUGUAAAGCUCUUUUGUCCGGGACGAUAAUGACGGUACCGGAAGAAUAAGCCCCGGCUAACUUCGUGCCAGCAGCCGCGGUAAUACGAAGGGGGCUAGCGUUGCUCGGAAUCACUGGGCGUAAAGGGCGCGUAGGCGGCCUUGUAAGUUGGGGGUGAAAGCCCGUGGCUCAACCACGGAAUUGCCUUCGAUACUGCUUGGCUUGAGUGUGGUAGAGGUUGGUGGAACUGCGAGUGUAGAGGUGAAAUUCGU